RNAcentral lists this ribosomal RNA (1257 nucleotides) under Thelephoraceae sp. 2C8. RNAcentral's name for it is "eukaryotic LSU rRNA". The stretch from base 654 to 1257 matches the Rfam family "Eukaryotic large subunit ribosomal RNA", at positions 1 to 602 of the family's 3401-position model. The record is from RNAcentral. Lineage: Eukaryota; Fungi; Basidiomycota; Agaricomycetes; Thelephorales; Thelephoraceae.
AGGAUCAUUAAUGAAGUCGACGUCGGGGAAGGGGUUGUUGCUGGCUGUCUGCAUGUGCACACCCUUGACCAGACUCGUUUGUCCUUUGCUUCACACCCGUGCACAAACUGUAGCCAGGGGGAUGAUUACGGCAGUUCUUGUUUGAACUCUGAAUGCCCCCCGCUAUGAACGCUUUUCAAUACACCUUUUGUAAAGUAUCUACGAAUGACCAUGCGUGUAACAACGCGGAUGAAAUACAACUUUCAGCAACGGAUCUCUUGGCUCUCGCAUCGAUGAAGAACGCAGCGAAAUGCGAUAAGUAAUGUGAAUUGCAGAAUUCAGUGAAUCAUCGAAUCUUUGAACGCACCUUGCGCUCCUUGGUAUUCCGAGGAGCAUGCCUGUUUGAGUGUCGUGAAAUUAUCAACUGCUUUGGCUUUGUUCAAAGUGAAGUUGGACUUUGGAGGUGUUGUCGGCAUGCACGACUCCUCCUAAAAGCAUGAAGCCCUUUCUUUGCCAGGUCUCUUGGCGCAAAGUAUCUUUGACGUGAUAAACUGUCUACGUUGCAGAGAAAGCCUCGAGCGGGAGAGCGUUCACCUUUUUUCAAGGGGGGGAGCGGUUUCGACAAUGAUGGGUUUGUUGUGUGAGACGCUUAUGGGGUUUCACUUUGACCAUUUCGACCUCAAAUCAGGCAGGACUACCCGCUGAACUUAAGCAUAUCAAUAAGCGGAGGAAAAGAAACUAACAAGGAUUCCCCUAGUAACUGCGAGUGAAGCGGGAAGAGCUCAAAUUUGAAAUCUGGCGUGCCUCUGGUCGUCCGAGUUGUAGUCUGGAGAAGCGUCUUCCGUGCUGACCCGUGUACAAGUCCCUUGGAACAGGGCGUCAUAGAGGGUGAGAAUCCCGUCUUUGACACGGAAUGUCAGUGCUUUUGUGAUGCGCUCUCAACGAGUCGAGUUGUUUGGGAAUGCAGCUCAAAAUGGGUGGUAAAUUCCAUCUAAAGCUAAAUACAGGCGAGAGACCGAUAGCGAACAAGUACCGUGAGGGAAAGAUGAAAAGCACUUUGGAAAGAGAGUUAAACAGUACGUGAAAUUGCUGAAAGGGAAACGCUUGAAGUCAGUCGCGUCUGCCGGGACUCAGCCUUGCUUUUUGCUUGGUGCACUUUCUGGUGGACGGGCCAGCAUCGAUUUUGAUCGUCAGAGAAGGUUGGGAGGAAUGUGGCAUCCUUCGGGGUGUGUUAUAGCCUCUCGUCGGAUGUGAUGGUCGGGAUCGAGGACCGCAGCU